GUUUGUUCCUGCUGCUGAUGUGCAGGUGGAAACUCACAUAUACAAAUAUAUCCCUGAUUAGAUAACCAAAUUCAGAAAAUUUAGCUUGCAAAUGUUCUUUGGUUCCUCUUCCUGACUGGUGCCGCCCUGCAGCAGUUCAUGCUGUUUGGGUUCAUGGUUUGAUUGUGAUGAACUUCACUGACUGAGAAGUUUACUUGAAGAGCUUCAGGUCACAUGACUCAAGAGGUCCAAGGGAGGAGAUGAUCUGCAGCAUCCUGGUGAUCUUCAUCCUGACCUCCUGUGUCUGUGCAGGGUCAUUUGUAGUGAAUGUGACACAGAGCUGGUAUCAUGCAGAGGAGAACCACAACAUCUCACUGGAAUGGAUGUUCCCCACCAGCACGGACCACUCCACCAACUCCCUCUAUGUCUCCUGUGAGAUGUUAGCUGAUCAGACACCCUUAGUCCUGUUUGUGCUACAUGAAGGUGUGGAGAUCCCAGAAUUUCCAGGAUAAACGCUUUGCAGGACGAGUCCAGUGGGACAAAGACGUCCUCAGAGAAGGACGACUCAGACUUCACAUCUCCAGACUCCAGACUAAUGACUCUGGGCUGUACUGGUGUCAAGUGGACACAAGUUAUGGGAAGAACUUUAAGGAAUGUCACCUCAAUGUCACUGCAGUGAAGGAUCGACCUGAACCUGAGAGAACCAGUGACACCAGUCUGAGAGGAUGGAUCGGUCUCUACUGGGUACUGGGAAUACUGGGACUGGGACUAGCAGCAGCUCUACUUGUCGUUUAUUCAUUUUAUCCGUGCUUUGCAAAAAUAAUUAGUGAUCAGCACAACAAACAAUACAUCAGAGCCAAAAUUGAAGUUAUUUAGUGUUUUCACAGAAAGAGUCUGAAUAUAAAUGUAUGUUAAUGAUGUACUGUGUGCAAGUCAAAUUAACCAUAUUAUAUUUUUAUAUCAGAAGGAAAAAAAAUCAUAUUUUUACACAGGAAUAAAUUGUAUUAUUGCUUUGCACAUUCAAAUCACAAAUACAUUUUCAGAAUGGCUUUUAAUUGAUUUAUUUUUCAAAUUGGUGUUUUAUUACGUUUUUAGGAAUGUUGGAUAAUUAAUUAAUUCAUAAUAAAUGUAUUAACCCCAAAAGCCUCUUCAUUUGACAUAUU
Molecule: long non-coding RNA, 1142 nt
Organism: Pungitius pungitius (ninespine stickleback)
Lineage: Eukaryota; Metazoa; Chordata; Actinopteri; Perciformes; Gasterosteidae
Exons: 4
Source: RefSeq, a predicted model, not a curated record